RNAcentral lists this ribosomal RNA (492 nucleotides) under uncultured bacterium. RNAcentral's name for it is "partial 16S ribosomal RNA". It matches the Rfam family "Bacterial small subunit ribosomal RNA", at positions 30 to 507 of the family's 1533-position model. The record is from RNAcentral.
AUUGAACGCUGGCGGCAUGCUUUACACAUGCCAGUCGAACGGUAACAGGCCUUCGGGUGCUGACGAGUGGCGAACGGGUGAGUAAUGCAUCGGAACGUACCCAGAGGUGGGGGAUAACGCAGCGAAAGCUGUGCUAAUACCGCAUGUGAUCUGAGGAUGAAAGCGGGGGAUCGAGCAGCAAUGUUUGGCCUCGCGCCUUUGGAGCGGCCGAUGUCGGAUUAGCUAGUUGGUGGGGUAAAGGCCUACCAAGGCGACGAUCCGUAGCUGGUCUGAGAGGACGACCAGCCACACUGGGACUGAGACACGGCCCAGACUCCUACGGGAGGCAGCAGUGGGGAAUUUUGGACAAUGGGCGCAAGCCUGAUCCAGCAAUGCCGCGUGCGGGAAGAAGGCCUUCGGGUUGUAAACCGCUUUUGGCAGGAACGAAACGGUGUCCGCUAAUACCGGGCGCUAAUGACGGUACCUGCAGAAUAAGCACCGGCUAACUACGUG